UCAGUAACGGCGAGUGAAGCGGCAACAGCUCAAAUUUGAAAUCUGGCUCCUUCGGGGCCCGAGUUGUAAUUUGCAGAGGAUGCUUCGGGUACGGGUUCCUUCCGAGUUCCCUGGAACGGGACGCCAUAGAGGGUGAGAGCCCCGUCUGGUAGGACACCCAGCCCGUGUGAAGCUCCCUCGACGAGUCGAGUAGUUUGGGAAUGCUGCUCUAACGGGAGGUAUACUCCUUCCAAGGCUAAAUACCGGCUGGAGACCGAUAGCGCACAAGUAGAGUGAUCGAAAGAUGAAAAGCACUUUGAAAAGAGAGUCAAAUAGCACGUGAAAUUGUUGAAAGGGAAGCGCUCGCUACCAGACAUGGGUUCGGCGGUUCAACCGGGGCCACGCCCCGGGGCACUCCGCCGGCCCAGGCCAGCAUCAGCUUUCCGUCGGGGGCAAAGGCGUCGGGAAUGUGGCUCUCCUUCGGGGGAGUGUUAUAGCCCGGCGUGUCAUACCCUUCGGGGGGCUGAGGUACGCGCUUCUGCAAGGAUGCUGGCGUAAUGGUAGCUAGUGAC
This 551-nucleotide ribosomal RNA is filed under the name Gibellulopsis nigrescens. RNAcentral's name for it is "LSU rRNA". It matches the Rfam family "Eukaryotic large subunit ribosomal RNA", at positions 80 to 648 of the family's 3401-position model. The record is from RNAcentral. Lineage: Eukaryota; Fungi; Ascomycota; Sordariomycetes; Glomerellales; Plectosphaerellaceae.